RNAcentral lists this long non-coding RNA (863 nucleotides) under Nicotiana benthamiana. RNAcentral describes it as "long non-coding RNA (NBEN_LNC020158)". The record is from RNAcentral. Lineage: Eukaryota; Viridiplantae; Streptophyta; Magnoliopsida; Solanales; Solanaceae.
UGAAAGACAAUUAAGGAAAGAGUUAACCAAAAAUAUUUCCAAGCAGUACAAUAAAGGGUAAAUACAUAGGAAUUAUUUAAGGCAAAAUCCAAUGGUACACAGUUUGUAAAAAAGGAAAGGGAAUCAAUCAAACGACUAGUAAAAAUCAAAAUUGCAGGCUUAACUUGAAUGGACCAAGUCAGGAAUAGGUAAAGAGGAUUCAAUUAGGAAAAAUCAGUUCAAUCAAUCAAACUCCAUUAGAGAAUUUCAGAAUCAAUUAAUUAGUUGGUAAAACCUUUUGAAAGAAGAGUUCUCAUAUAUAAAGCACACAACUAUGUCAAUCAAGAAGAUACUGUCAAGUUAUUUAGAAUAGAGUUUAAUUAAAGAGAAGAAAGAAUCAGAUAGAAUCAAAAAGAUCUUUUGAAAAAGUUUUCCAGAAAUGAUUUUGAAAAAAAAAUUGGGGAAAACACUUUAGGAGCCCAGCAGAACACAUAACAUACCAUAGAUCUAAGAAAAUAAACAGAGAAAAAUCUCAAAUAGCUUAGGGUUUCGGAGAAACCCUAGAAAUGAGAAAUACUUGGAAGAAAAAUCACAUCCUGGGUCGAAAAGGUCAGGAAUCAGGCUCCUAAUUCUUGAGUAUCCUGGAGCAUGGCCGCAGAGUCCAUAGAACUACAUAUAUGAGAAGAUCUGAAAAGAGAACCAUAGAAAUGAGCCUUCAAAACCUCGAACACCCAAGUUUUAAUGGUGGAGAGGGGUGAGUACAAACCAUCCAUGGCCUGGGAAGCCAUGGAUUUCGGUGAAAACAUGGUGAAAUAGGACAGCAGAAGGCUAGGGUUUCGAAGAGCUGUUGAGAGGAUUUGAGAGAGCUUGGGAUUCAAAUGCGG